Molecule: long non-coding RNA, 346 nt
Organism: Gymnodraco acuticeps
Lineage: Eukaryota; Metazoa; Chordata; Actinopteri; Perciformes; Bathydraconidae
Exons: 3
Source: RefSeq, a predicted model, not a curated record
GCUGGAUGAAGUUGUCACCAGUGCUGUGGUGGUAUUCUCCAGCUCCCACAGUGACAGAAAUGUUGGAAAACAUUUUGAAAAUCUCCAAGGACUACUGACAAAUUCAGCGCAGUCAAACUUGGACGAUUCAACCAUUGUGGAAGACUGUGUGAAUGAUAUCGGACCUACGCCCUUCAAACAGCAUUUUGAGGACUUAAUAACCCAAACAGUUAUUGAGAAAUCUGGUGAUGACAACAUGUACUUCUGCCCGACUUUCAUCCCUUCCUUGCUUAAGUACUUUCUGCCCCUGGCUGGUCUGUGGUCUGGCCUACUCUUGGGUGACCUUGGACGCCAUGGAACAGGGACC